RNAcentral lists this long non-coding RNA (6221 nucleotides) under Canis lupus familiaris (dog). Its description in RNAcentral is "lncRNA (ENSCAFG00000051306.1)". Lineage: Eukaryota; Metazoa; Chordata; Mammalia; Carnivora; Canidae. The record is from RNAcentral.
AUCCCUCACUGCACCUUAUAAAUUUUUGGCUUAGUAUUCAUAACGCUUGCUACCAAGCUGAAAAACUAAAUCACAAGAAUGGAUGGACAAGAAUGGUUUAGUAUAUUGCCUCUCCCCAGUAACAAUAUUGCCUCUCUAUUCCUACCAGGUCCAAAUGCAACCAACUAAGGUUGUAAGGAUGAACAAUAGGCAUCUUCUGCUUUCUAAUAUCUAGCAUAUAGCUGACAUCCCCAAUCCUUUCUUGAUGACUUGCCAUUGGAGGAAUGAUUGCAUUACAUGUUUGGAUUGACCAAUGAGUGAGGGGUCAAGGGCCAAGUUAAUUGAAUCCUACUAGUUCUGCAAGAAUUCUUAAUGUCACCCUGCCUAGAAGUGGGGUGGAGUUGCUGGGUGAAGGACUUUUUUUUGCUUAUCAUUUCACUGUAUAUCUCCUUUGCCAGAGGUAAAAUCCAUGAUACUUGUGCUAUUGUCAGAAGAUUAACUUAUCUCAGAAGUAACAGAAAAGGAGAUACUCAGGGGACCUAAAUCUAUCCAUCUUGUACCUAGAAACUUAGCUCACCUUAUGUGUUAUAUUUUUUGAUUUCUCUUUGAUUAGAUUUGCUCAGAAGAAGACAGCUUGAAUAGAUAUUUCUCUAAAACAGAUAUACAAAUGGCCAAAAGCAUGUGAAGGGAUGCUCAAAACCAUUAGUUAUCAGGGAAAUGCAAAUUAAAACCAUAAUGAGGUACCACUUUAUACUCUAGGAUUCCUAAAAUAAAAAAUAAGAAAAUAACCAGAGUUAUUUUGAGAGUGAAGAAAUCAGACCCCUUAUACACUGCUUGAUAAUAAUGUAAUAUGAUGCAGCCACUUUGAAAAAUAAGUCUGGAAGUUCCUCAAAAGUUUAAACAUUGAAUUAUUAUAUGACCAGAAAUUCUACUUAGAAGUGUGUAUUCAAAAGGAUUGAAUACACACAAAAACCUUUACAUGAAUGUUCACAGCACCAUUAUUCAUAAUAGUCAAAAAGUGAAAACAAAUGAAAUAUCUAUCAAUGGAUGUGAAUAGAUAGACAAAAUGUAACAAUGCAUACAAUGAAAUACAGUUCAGCUAUGAAAAGGAAUGAAAUACUAAUAAAUGAAUAAAACUUGAAAACUUAUGCUAAUUGGAAGAAGCCAGACUCAAAAAGACUUCAUAUUGUAUGAUUCCAUUUAUAUGAAAUGUCCAGAACAGGCAAAUCCACAGAAACAGAAUACAGAUUACUGGUUGCCAGGGGCUGGGUUGGGGGAGGAGUGGGGAGUGACUGUUCAUAGGUAUAGAGUUUUUUUGUGGGGGUGGGGUGAUGAAAAUAUUCUAAUCUUAGAUUGUAAUAAUGGUUGCAAAAGUGUGAAUAUAUUGAAACUUGAUUUGUAUUUCUUAAAUGAGUAAAUUGUACAGUAUAUGAAUUAUGUCUUAGGAAAGCCAUUUACAAAUUAAAAAGAAAGCUGCUUAUGUAAAUAUUAGAUUGCUGAGAAUGUUAUUAUUUACCACAGAAACCCAUGAAAACCUUAAAGAGCAAAAGGCGACCUGCAUGGUGUGUAGGGGCAGACUCCUAACAUCAAGAAUGAACCUCUUAGUUUUGUGGCAGCAGUUAGGACAUGAAAAUACCUUUGAGAGAAGACCCCAACCCUCUCUGAGCCAUGAAUAGAUAUGGUCUCCCUGUGUCCUUUUAAGGCAAACCUGGAGCCAAUGAGCUGAAUUUGCAUAGCCACAGCAUUUCCCUUAUGGUAGACCUCUAAAUUCUCCAAAUUAGGGAUUGCAAUCUUUCAGAAUUUGGGACUACGUACAGUGAUCAGCUUGUUCUGGUUUUUAUAGAUUUUAACACUGAAAUCCUCAUGUCAACCUAGUCAGUGCCAGGUAAAUUAGGACCACCAUCUAGAGCAAAUGGCCCAUGGAAAGCGGCUAUCUGUAUUAAUUCUUAUAAUAAACAGGGGCAAGAAAAUGUUAUAAUCUCUUUUGCUACAGAAAAUGGACUCCCUUCUUUUUCCCUGGAGUCCUGGGGCUCACUGCUGCCCUUACCCACCUUGAGAGAAUGGCCAAAGCACAGAAAUGAUCCAAGACAGCAAAUCAUAGUUCAGGUUUAAAAGCACCAGAAACCACUGGUAGGAUUCUGUGUCACUCACAUAUCAGAGCCAUGCUAGAAAUCCACAGGGAAAUUUGUAGUAUAAAUAGAAUGCUUGCCAACAAGCAGAAACCAAAUAUACCACAAAUUCUAACCUGAAAUCAAAACUAUUGAUAGAAGGUAUUCUAAUGAAGGAGACUUCCAAGCUGCUGUUUUCUGGCUAAAAAUUUCCCAGAAGCUAAUCAGAGCUCUGUGAAGCAUCCUUUUAACAGAAUUUAUGAAUGCUACCUAAACCCAAAUCUGACCUACAGAAUGAGGCAAUAUAACAUUAAAUGAUUGCCAUUUUAUCUAUCAAAAUUAAUCUAUUUAUAUUCUCCAGGAAAUAAACAUCCAUUCAUAAUCAGCAACCAGCACUUAAUAAAACAUAUAGUUUCUUUUACAAUGAGAAACAUUAAUGUUUUGAGUUUGUGAAGCCUCAGAAGAAAAAACCUAGUGGUCUGAAAAUAGGUACAAAACAACCUUUUUGGGGAACUUUAUUCAGACCCCCACGUACUAAACAAGAAAACUGUAAAGGAAAUGAACAAAGAGUAGAAAAGUUUUACACAAAAGAAAGAGUAAGUUUCAAGAGCAAUAGCAAUGAUGUAGGCCUACCCUGACAGUUUCUUAGCUUCAGUGUAGUUCAUCCAAGUGAUGUCUUAGGAUCAGUUGAAGCAGACUGUUUUACAAAAAUAAACUAAUAAGAAAAACUUUUCUCCACUAUUCAUGCAAAGAAGAUAAUUACAAUUGAAGAUGUAAUGCCAGAGUCUUCCUUUUCCUUUUCACAUGAUGACCUCGUGGUUUCUUAGUUGUUACACAUAAAAAAGGCAUCUGACCAAAAAUGACUCAAUUUGUUAAAUGGUUUACAAAUUUGUUAAAAGGAGGAGAAACACUCCCCCUUUUUUCUUUCUUUUUUCCUCUUCCUUCCUAUUUAUUUAUCUAUUAAUCUAUAUCUACCAUCUUGACUUUCUACAAGCGUGUGUGUGUGUGUGUGUGUGUGUGUGUGUGUGUUUGAAUGUGCUUUACAACUUGGCAGAUACCAACGUCAUUCUGUUGUUUUGGAAGUCAAACACAUGUUUGUUACUCAAUUGAUAAAUCCCACAUGACAAUCAUAGGAUUAGUUGGUUGUUUUUUCCAAGGUGUCACUACAUCAUUGCUUCUUUUCCCCUAGCUUAAAACUGCUCAGUUUCAGUCUUGCCCAUUUCCUCAGUAAGACACUUCUUUGCCAGAAACUAAGGCAAAAUCCAUAUUACUCCUAUAAUGAAAUCUACAAUAAAAUCCCAGAUUUAAAUGAAUAGUUUUAAACAUCAUUCAUUUGGUAAAUGAGGAAGGAGGCCACUGAGGAAGGCAAAUGGAGUAAAAUGAGCUUCUAUCAUCAGCUACUAUAAUUUUUGAGGCUGAUAUGCCUGUAAUCAGACCUGGAGCCCUUUGUCUAAAUUAAGUAAAAAUAAUAGGACUGUCUUCCACAUUCUUCUAUCUAGGUUGUCCCUUAGGACUUUUUUUCCUUCAGAUCUGGUCUUGGAGCUCAGGUGAACCUAUUAUCACCCAGAUAUGGUCUUAUUUGACUUAGCAUCUCACAAUCCCCGGAAGUAUAGGAUCCUGCUUUCCCUGAAGAUAGAUGGUCUUGCACUCUCUCUGUCCCAGGACAGAUGCCACAUUGCACAAAUCUAGUAUCUACAAUGCUGGUCAUUUUUAAAAUGAAUUUGAGGUAAAAGAAGACUCUGUUAAGUCCCUUUUUAGCGUUUGCUCUUGGGAUUUAUUGGAUUAACAUCUCAUUAUUUCAACUGUGAGUUUUUCCAUCCUGGGGAAAGAAGUUCCUCUCCUCAGGACAGGGAAGUGUGGGAACGCUUCCCUUGGAGAUGUGCCUUAUCUCUGUGGUGAAUAGAGGAAGGAACUGAACAUGCUCAGUUUAGCCCCUGUGCUUUAUGGUUCUCUACCUCUUGUCAAGAAUUUCUCACUCAGUUUCUCCAUGAAGUGAGCUUUCUACAUCAGGAUCUGGCCUUGUAAUGGGCAGGCUGAAAUUUGGGAUGGGUAGGGUCAAUUCUGAGAGAAAGUUAUUAAAGAACCCAUUUGUGGCUGUUAUCUGUGUCUGUUCUCCAAACUGUCCCUCGGAGUCAGAAGACUGGGUAUUUUGUUCUCAAAUUGAUUCUUGUGUUCACUUUCAGCUGCUUUUGAACUCAGAGAGUGGACAGGAAAUUAUCACUUCUUCUAUAGACACAAAUAAGCCCCACAUCCUAGCGGUUGAAACAACAAAGGUUUAUUUCUUGUUCAUGUUAUACAUUCACUGGGGCUCUGGUCAUUGGCUUUGACUACGCACCCGAAUAUUUACAGUUUAUAAAGACUGGUUCAAAUUUUAGCACCUCUGGGUAGGACUUUGUUAAUAAACAGAACCAGAAAAAAAUAUUCACAUUUGAAACUUAGGAUGUAAUUAUAAAGAUUGUGCCAAAGUGGUAUUUUCAAACAUAAUUUUCUAUGGGGGAACCAUAUUUAUAAUAAAUAACAAAGAGAAAUAUCAUCUACAACUGAAUAGGCCUUUUUAUAUCCCUUGAAUUGCUGAGAAUUAUUUUCGGGAAUACUUAAUUCAGAGCUUUUCUUUCAGGGUGUUGGCACUUUCCCCUUUUGGAUAUGAGUUAUACUAAACCGACCUCUAUUAUUUCUGGAUUACAUGUCAGCAAUGGAAAAUGAAUUGAGUGCUUUGAGGAGAAAAAAAUCAUUACCAGAAAGAUGAAUAGACUGAUUGUACUGGGUUACUAAAAGUAGUGGCUCUGGAAAGAUCAUUGGUUUGAUUUUUCUGGGAAACAUAUCUUCUUGGAUACUCUUCAGAGUUAUGAUAAAUUCCUCCAGCAGCAGGUGGGAGGUAAGUCUAUUGAUCUCACACUUUCUCCUGGCCCACUGACUUCAAAGACAGGCCUUUCUUUGCUAUGUGGUAUUCAAAUAUAGAAACUGCUUUGGGCUCUCAGAUUUCGCGUAUUUGGAAAAGAGUCAACAGCUAGCCAAAUUUACAUAUUUAUUGCUUUUGCCAUAGGAAGGAAAGACCUGUUUUGACAGAUAUGUAUUAUGUGCCAAUGAUAGAGCCAUGAUCAAGACUGAUGUAAGCUCCUUGCCUAAUAGAGUUCUCAGUCUUGGGGACAGGAGAUGGGUCUACAUGGGUAAAUAGCCUAUAGUUUCGUGUGAGAAAUACCAUAACAAGAACACAUAGGGUAGUAUGGGAAUCUUAUAACAGAGGAGAUGAGGGAAGACUUCCGGAAAGAAACGGCUUGUAAUUGUGACCUCAGUAGCACUUGGUCUUAACCAGAAGAAGAUGAAUGAGCAAAGGCCCUGAGGUUGGAGAGAACAUGACAUAUUUAAAGGAUUGAGUAGAAAGUAAUUGCACAGAUAAGGGAGAGAAACAAAAAGUGGCAAACAAAUGCAAGGUCAUAAACAGUCUAGCAAAAUGUGUUAGGAAGUGUGGCCUGUAUCUCCAUGGACAGUGUGGAUGAAUAGUUUUUUUAGCAGGCAAGUUUGCACAUAGUUUCUACAGAUGAAGACAGCCUCCUCAUCUUUCUGUCUGAGGUCAUUCUUUGGCCACUAGAGUAAGCUUGGCCAUAGCACACAUACAGUCAGGCAUGCAAUUCCAGGGAGUUAAUGUCCAGGGAGUGACCUUCAACAGUAGGGGUUGGGAACUGGAGAAUGAGUACUUCAGCUUUCCUGUCCCUCUAUACAUUAGUUCUGAGGUGUCUUCCAUCCAGUGUCUCAGAGGGUCCCCAAGGAGACUGAGCCCCAGUGGCCAACAGGGAUAACCUGCUCAUUAACACACUGCCUAUUGGCUUUCCUCCAUUCUCUGCCUUAUUUCCCACACCCUUAGAAUGCCUCCUGGGGUCACCUCCCUCCAAAAUAAACUGCAUGCUCCCAAAUCAGAGUGCCAGAGCCUAAGAUAAAAGUGACUGUGGGGAUAUCUGGGUGGUUCAGUGGUUUAGCGCCUGCCUUUAGCCCAGAGCAUGUUCCUGGAGUCCUGGAAUCCAGUCCCACAUCAGGCUCCCUGCAUGGAGCCUGCUUCUCCCUCUCCCUCUGCCUAUGUCUCUGCCUCUCCCUGUGUAUCUCUCAUGAAUAAAUAAAUAAAAUCUUAAAAAAAAAAAA